Molecule: long non-coding RNA, 1315 nt
Filed under: Fukomys damarensis (Damara mole-rat)
Lineage: Eukaryota; Metazoa; Chordata; Mammalia; Rodentia; Bathyergidae
Description: lncRNA (ENSFDAG00000024522.1)
Source: RNAcentral
GGUCUAGCUGCCGCAAGAAGAGGAAACCAUAGAGCAAAGUGAUGACAGGAAACUGUGAUAUAUCACAAAGCUGAUGGCUUUAGGAAAGACCAGAUGAGAACCAGACCCCAGGGAGGCCCCUGGAAUGAGCCCGUGGCAGGGGGCCAGCCGUGAACACAAGCAGUCUUGGUGGAUGUGAACCUCCAGUGACCACACACAAUCUUUCUGUGUGGGCACAGCUGAAGCCUGAUGCCCUUAAAAGUCCAGAAGUCCUUUAUCCCAAAGUGAAAAAGCAAACGUUACCCAGUAGGCAAACAAUGCUGAGAGCUCGCUUCCUCCAACUCCAUAGCUAAGCUACUCACUCCGGAUAACAUCACUCCGCGGCCAAGCCCUGAGUCAGGAAGUAGUUUAUUUUCACUGAAAUUGAGGGGGAAGUUAAAGAGAAAAACAGCUGCAAUUUGGUCAGUUCGGGAAAACCAGUGCUCAUCGAGACAGGGAUUUGAAGAACUCCUGCCUCAGAAAUGUGACUUAAUCUUUUCCUCUUACUGCCAUCUCCUUAAAACCUAAUGAAGUGAGGAGAUGGAGGACAUCGCGAUAAUAACAACUCAAGUAAUUUUUAGGACUCCACGGGACUUGGGAUCACCGGCACGUACAAUGUCAAGUUCCAGACUGACCCCAAGUUGGAGCAAUGAGUGGGAUUCCCCAGUCACCGUCCUGAACCAGUGGUCACUCGGAUCUGGGGAAAAGGCAGAGCCAUGCAUGGUGGAAGCACCACGAACAGAGACUGUCAUCUCGUGGGAACAGGGCUGCCUCUUCAUCCCUGAGGAUUUGGCUGGGGCUGCAAAUCCAGGACGAAGUAAUGAUUGGCAAGGCCCCGCCCCCCCUCAGCUCCCAGUGACACCGGCCUUCGUUCUUUCGUGGGGUUCUCAGAGUUCACCUUUUCCAAUCUUAAAGUUGAAUCCAGGGGCACGAACAAGUGGAGUCAACUAGAGAAGUAAAGAUCUCUUCCCUUCCCUUCCCGUCCCUCCCCUCCCCUCCCCUCCCUUCCCUGCCCUUUUUCCCCUCUCUCCUCUCCGGCCACCUCAGCCAGUGUCCCUUGUCAACCCCCCCCACGUCUCCUUGUCCUUCUCUUUCUUCUUCUUUUUUCCUCUCUCUCUUUCUGAGCAUCUUUCCUUCCCAUUUCCUUAUUCAAACACACUCACAUACUUAAAACGCCCUGUAUCCUCAGUCAGCUUAUGGUUAACUUUAUUAAAAUAAUACCAAAGCACUUGUAACCAUGGAACUGAUGUGCCCAGCAUUGGGUUUUUCCAUACAUUAUUCCAACAUUCAAUUACUG